UGCCAGCCGCCGCGGUAAUACGGAGGGUGCAAGCGUUACUCGGAAUUACUGGGCGUAAAGAGCGUGUAGGCGGAUAGAUAAGUUGGAAGUGAAAUCCUAUGGCUCAACCAUAGAACUGCUUCCAAAACUGUCAAUCUAGAAUACGGGAGAGGUAGAUGGAAUUUCUGGUGUAGGGGUAAAAUCCGUAGAUAUCAGAAGGAAUACCGAUUGCGAAGGCGAUCUACUGGAACAUUAUUGACGCUGAGACGCGAAAGCGUGGGGAGCAAAUAGGAUUAGAUACCCUGGUAGUCCACGCCCUAAACGAUGUACACUAGUUGUUGUGAGGCUAGACCUUGCAGUAAUGCAGUUAACACAUUAAGUGUACCGCCUGGGGAGUACGGUCGCAAGAUUAAAACUCAAAGGGAAUAGACGGGGACCCGCACAAGCGGUGGAGCAUGUGGUUUAAUUCGACGAUACGCGAAGAACCUUACCUGGUCUUGACAUAAUAAGAAGUCUUUAGAGAUAGAGAUGUGUCUUGCUUGCAGAAGCUUAUAUACAGGUGCUGCACGGCUGUCGUCAAGCUCUGUCGUGAGAUGUUGGGUUAAGUCCCCAACGAGCGCAACCUUGUCGUUAGUUGCUAACAGUUCGGUUGAGAACUCUACGAGACUGCUUCGCAGUAGGAAGAAGUGAGGACGACGUCAAGUCAUUCAUGGCCUUACGACAGGCUUUCACACGUGCUACAAUGGGUAUACAAAGAGCAGCGAUACCGUGACGUGGAGCGAAUCUCAAAAUGCCUCC
This 777-nucleotide ribosomal RNA is filed under the name uncultured Arcobacter kps57f. RNAcentral's name for it is "bacterial SSU rRNA". It matches the Rfam family "Bacterial small subunit ribosomal RNA", at positions 506 to 1288 of the family's 1533-position model. Lineage: Bacteria; Pseudomonadati; Campylobacterota; Epsilonproteobacteria; Campylobacterales; Arcobacteraceae. The record is from RNAcentral.